CUCCUUCAUUACUUUUAGUUGAUUGUCUGGC
RNAcentral lists this non-coding RNA (31 nucleotides) under Rattus norvegicus (Norway rat). The record is from RNAcentral. Lineage: Eukaryota; Metazoa; Chordata; Mammalia; Rodentia; Muridae.